AGAGUUUGAUCAUGGCUCAGGAUGAACGCUGGCGGCGUGCUUAACACAUGCAAGUCGAACGCUGAAGCUCCCAGCUUGCUGGGGGUGGAUGAGUGGCGAACGGGUGAGUAUCACGUGAGUAACCUGCCCUGAACUCUGGGAUAAGCCUGGGAAACUGGGUCUAAUACUGGAUAGGACUGGCCAUCGCAUGGUGGUUGGUUGAAAGCUUUUGCGGUUUUGGAUGGACUCGCGGCCUAUCAGCUUGUUGGUGGGGUAAUGGCCUACCAAGGCUUUGACGGGUAGCCGGCCUGAGAGGGUGACCGGCCACACUGGGACUGAGACACGGCCCAGACUCCUACGGGAGGCAGCAGUGGGGGAUAUUGCACAAUGGGCGCAAGCCUGAUGCAGCGACGCCGCGUGAGGGAUGACGGCCUUCGGGUUGUAAACCUCUUUCAGUUGGGAAGAAGCCUUUCGGGGUGACGGUACCUUCAGAAGAAGCACCGGCUAACUACGUGCCAGCAGCCGCGGUAAUACGUAGGGUGCGAGCGUUAUCCGGAAUUAUUGGGCGUAAAGAGCUCGUAGGCGGUUUGUCACGUCUGCUGUGAAAGCUCGGGGCUUAACUCCGAGUGUGCAGUGGGUACGGGCAGGCUGGAGUGCAGUAGGGGAGACUGGAAUUCCUGGUGUAGCGGUGAAAUGCGCAGAUAUCAGGAGGAACACCGAUGGCGAAGGCAGGUCUCUGAGCUGUUACUGACGCUGAGGAGCGAAAGCAUGGGGAGCGAACAGGAUUAGAUACCCUGGUAGUC
This 782-nucleotide ribosomal RNA is filed under the name uncultured bacterium. RNAcentral's name for it is "bacterial SSU rRNA". It matches the Rfam family "Bacterial small subunit ribosomal RNA", at positions 8 to 795 of the family's 1533-position model. The record is from RNAcentral.